Molecule: long non-coding RNA, 2210 nt
Organism: Balaenoptera acutorostrata (minke whale)
Lineage: Eukaryota; Metazoa; Chordata; Mammalia; Artiodactyla; Balaenopteridae
Exons: 9
Source: RefSeq, a predicted model, not a curated record
CACGUGGUCAGGGAGCCGAGCGCUGGGUCGUAGGGGACCGCGGCUUGGAACUCGGGACGGCUGCAAGCCUGCUCAGGCCGCUUGCCUUCCUCCAUCGCCUUCUUUCGCUGUGCGCGGACCACACGGUGGGACUGUAGCGGCGAAAGCGGCUGAGGUCUGGGCGCAGUUAUCUGUAACCUCUUGGCGACCCUGACAAGCAGACGCGGGAACACAAGUAAGAAUGGAGGGUGCUCUUCCUCCCGCCCCACCCCGAAGGUAACAAAGGAUCAAGGCUUUCUCCGUGAAAUAGCUGCAGAAUGUACACUGAACCUGCUGGCACUUCCCUUAGAGUUUUACUGGCUCAGCUCAAGAACCACCUCCUCCAAGUUGUCUUCCUGGAUUUACUCAGCCUAAAGUAAUCCUUUUUCCUAGAUAUAUACUGAGCAUAUGCUUUGUGUCAGAUAUUGUUAUAGAUGCUGAGGCUUCAUCUGUGAACAAGACCGACCAAGUCUCUGACCUCAUGGAGCUUAUUUCAUAUGUGGGCAACAGAUAAUAAGAUCCCUGAAGACUUCAUUAUGGAUUUUGUCUCUGGGAACAUGGACGACUACACCUGUUCACGGGAAUUCUUGGAUCCUUAAAACAACACUUUAAGGGCUCAGCAGAAUGGACAUAGAAACAGCAGUGGUUGAUGAUUGCAUUGAUCCAAAUUUGGAAGCUGUGUGGCAGUUACUCUGAUGAAGUUUGAUGCCGUGUUGCGAGAUGCUCUGUAGGGAGACCCACAUGCCAGAGACUCAAGGAGGCCUGCAGCCAACAGCUUAUGAGGAACUGAAUCCUUUGUCCAACAGUCUGCGAAAAACGGAAUCCUGCCAACAACCAUGUGACUGAACUUGGAAGCAGAUCCUUCCCAGUAGAGCCUUCGGAUGAGGUGGUGUCCCUGGCCAGCGCCUUGAUUGCGGGCUUGCAAGAAGCCCUGAAGCAGAAGACCCAGCUAAGCCACGCCUGGAUUCCUGAAAACCAGACUGCUCUCUGCCAGGAUCUCUAGAGCCUCACAUUGGUCAAUGACCCUGAAGAGGGCAGAGUCCAGCCUCAGGCCUCUAGCCCACCCUCUUCCUGGGAAGAAAAUGCCUCUGCUCCGAAGGCAGCCAGCACAUAUUUUACUCACAACAGUCGGCAGAUGGCUGUGGAUCCCUUCUGUUCCCAGGAAUCACAUCGGAACUAACCGCGCUGUGCAUUUUCCAUCACUGGUAGCUAUCCCAACGGUGACGUGGGGCAUCGUUAUUAAUAGGUGAAGGACAAAGAGAGAGGGGAAGUGGCUUGGGCUGAGUCACACAGCAAAGUUAGAACUCCGAUCUCCCAGCAACUAACGUCGCCCUGGGCUCUGUCCCACACACCUGGCAGCUCCAGAGACUUGCUCCUUUUUGUACUCUGGGUAACGAACUCUCUAGCUAACCAAGCGGGUCUGACUUGUCUUACAGAGAAAUGAAGCAAAAUCUUCUUCGGGAUGGUAUAUUAUGAUCUUUCUGUUUCUAAUGGUUGGCAGGAAACCGAGUCCCCACUACUUACUGAAUGACCUGGAACACAUCAUCGAAAGUUUCUGGACCCUCAGUUUUCCCUUCAGUAAAAUGUAGACAAGAUUUAUUGGUGCCUACCCCCAGAGAAACUGGAUGAGCUAGGGAGAGGAGUGGGGUGCCCUUAUCCAAUCUAUUCUGCAUUACCCUUUACACGGGUGAACUUCAAACCUGGCUGAGCAUGAUAAUCACAUGGGUGGCCUUUAAAAAUACAAAUUCCUGGGCCUUGCCCAGCCUGGCUUACUUGGAUUUCUUCUCCUUUCUCUCGGCCAAGUGGCCCCCAGGGUGAAGGGAACCCCCUUGAUUUGAGCAGCGGGGUGGUCUUUAACUUUUCUAUGUAAAUCCUCUCCAACUCAGCUUAAAGAAACCUUUGCUACGAGAUGGGAAGCAUUGCGUUCUGUCUCCUUUGAGCUCUCCCUUGGACUCACUGUUCCCCCAAUUUUGGCACUUCUCACAUACUGCUUGUUAUUUUUACUUAACUGUUUCAAAUCUUUGCCUCUUGUUUCCUCAGUUAGCUACUGGAGGGUAAAAACCAUGACCUACCCUUCUCUUAUUGCCCCGCAAAUGCCAGCUCCAUUAGCACCUAGUAUCUCUUCAAUAAAUAUUUGUUGAAUGGCAAAUCCUGUAAUUUGGAAAUCUGAAAUAAUUUCUUAUUUAUUUGGG